This is a long non-coding RNA of Malaya genurostris, 1166 nucleotides long. RefSeq lists it as uncharacterized. The transcript is spliced from 2 exons. The record is from RefSeq and is a predicted model, not a curated record. NCBI's taxonomy places the organism in Eukaryota, Metazoa, Arthropoda, Insecta, Diptera, Culicidae.
GUGACAUAAGCACUGAAGCAUGCUUUUGUGAACUACUUGAAUCAAUCUGAAUCAAUUGGUGUCAAAAUUAGUAUCCAAAUUUAUUUAAUAUAAGUAUGAAACAUAUUUUCAUGAGACUGUUAUGAAAGAAGAGAAAGGCAUUAUCACACCACUAGGUGGAUUAAGAAGGGUUUUUUUUUAUUUUAUUCAAUUCUCGUUCCUCAUUCAAUAUGUAGAGACAUCUUUCAGAUGUCAUCUGUCAAAACUUACAUUAGUGUGUUAGUUAUUGUGCUUCAGUGACACUACUUUCGGAAAACAAGGAACAAUGGAGAAUAAAGAAUUUCGUGUGUUGAUAAAACAAUGGUUUUAAACAGUUUCUUAAAUCAAUCCACAUCGAAAUCCAUUCUCUUUCGACAUACAUUAUUAUUCAAGAAAGUGAAAAAUCAAAUUCUCACAGUAAGUAUAUUUUUCAAGAAACUAGUAACAUGCCAAUCAGAUAAGUGUCACGGAAAGUGAGAUAUAUACAAUUAUUAAAACAAAGUGUUCAUCAUUAGUCAUAAAAUGUUGCUAGACACCAAAAAACAUUGAAGAUCAUGUGCCACCUAGGAAUAGAAGUAACUUCCCAGCCAAACUGCACAAAACUGUUCCGAUACUAGUAAUGUGCUGUCGUAGAUUAAUUAUGCCGUUUCCGAUUAAUUCGACCCGGAAAUUUAGACGCAGCUUUCAAUGCCAAACAGCCGUGACGACUAGAGCUUUAAAAUCUAGCAUUGUUCGCCCUGCUCGUUAGUUGUUGGGCAACUAUAGCCAUAUUAAUUGUCAUCGGUUAUAUUGUAAUAUAAAUCAGUUCGGCAGAGAAGUACCUUACUGUGAAAUGUUUCGACUAGGACUAAAACAGGUUUUUAAAUGGAUUCUUAUUGGGACUAUCGCUACAUCGCAAUGGUUAACAAUGACAGCGGCAAAUCUGGCUCCCAGAUCUGAGUUUUUGGAUUUAUGUGGGCCACCUGGUAAUGAAAUACUUUGCACCUGUGAAGGGGAAGGCGCAGAUAUGGUGUGUACCCCACUUGAUUGGGAAGGAAAUCAGUAAGCUGAAACAAUAUGAAAAAGUGACCCCGGAUGAGAAGAUAUGUCAGUUUUAAAAUUUAAAUUAGGAAAUUAUGACAAAUAAAACUAACAACUCUAGCAGCGUU